RNAcentral lists this small RNA (347 nucleotides) under Arabidopsis thaliana (thale cress). RNAcentral describes it as "ATSL027690". Lineage: Eukaryota; Viridiplantae; Streptophyta; Magnoliopsida; Brassicales; Brassicaceae. The record is from RNAcentral.
CUUUUACGUAUACAUUUUUAAGGUAUAAGAGAUAUUGCGUGUGAUUUUAAUAAGUAGUGGUCUAAUAUUGCAUGAUUUUUAAGAAGUAGCGGUGUAAUCAUUACUUUCUAUUGUCUUUUGUUCCCUACAUGUAGCAGCUAUUGUCGAAAAGAAAGAGUUUCUCUCAUCUAUAAAAGGUAAAAUAGUUAUUUCGCAGGCUCAAAAAAGGUUAUUUAUCCAACUUUUCUGCACGAAGGCUAUUUUCUUAAUAAUGCUGUCAAAUUUGGUCAUCCUCUAAUAUUACCCUAUAAUUAAUAUAUCGAUGUGACACAUGUCUCUCAUGAUUUUUAAUUCUUAAAUAAAUUAAA